GCAAUGGUAGUUUAGUGGUAGAAUCCUUGCCUUCCAUGCUGGAAAUCUGGGUUUAAUCCCUGGCCGGUGCA
This 71-nucleotide transfer RNA is filed under the name Loxodonta africana (African savanna elephant). It matches the Rfam family "tRNA". From Rfam's summary of the family: Transfer RNA (tRNA) molecules are approximately 80 nucleotides in length. Their secondary structure includes four short double-helical elements and three loops (D, anti-codon, and T loops). The record is from Rfam by way of RNAcentral. Lineage: Eukaryota; Metazoa; Chordata; Mammalia; Proboscidea; Elephantidae.